UACGAAGGGGGCUAGCGUUGUUCGGAAUUAUUGGGCGUAAAGCGCGUGUAGGCGGCUUUGCAAGUCGGGUGUGAAAGCCCUCGGCUCAACCGUGGAAGUGCGCCCGAAACUGCAGAGCUUGAGUACCGGAGAGGAUGGCGGAAUUCCCCAAGUAGAGGUGAAAUGCGUAGAUAUCGGGAGGAACACCUGUGGCGAAGGCGGCCCCCUGGUUGGAUACUGACGCUGAUACGCGAAAGCGUGGGGAGCAAACAGG
This 253-nucleotide ribosomal RNA is filed under the name uncultured bacterium. RNAcentral describes it as "partial 16S ribosomal RNA". It matches the Rfam family "Bacterial small subunit ribosomal RNA", at positions 524 to 776 of the family's 1533-position model. The record is from RNAcentral.